CCAGACCGAAACCAGCAGCCGCGGUAAUACGUAGGGCGCAAGCGUAUCCGGAAUUAUUGGGCGUAAAGAGCUCGUAGGCGGUUGUCGCGUCUGCUGUGAAAUCCCGAGGCUCAACCUCGGGCCUGCAGUGGGUACGGGCAGACUAGAGUGCGGUAGGGGAGAUUGGAAUUCCUGGUGUAGCGGUGGAAUGCGCAGAUAUCAGGAGGAACACCGAUGGCGAAGGCAGAUCUCUGGGCCGUAACUGACGCUGAGGAGCGAAAGGGUGGGGAGCAAACAGGCUUAGAUACCCUGGUAGUCCACCCCGUAAACGUUGGGAACUAGUUGUGGGGUCCUUUCCACGGAUUCCGUGACGCAGCUAACGCAUUAAGUUCCCCGCCUGGGGAGUACGGCCGCAAGGCUAAAACUCAAAGGAAUUGACGGGGACCCGCACAAGCGGCGGAGCAUGCGGAUUAAUUCGAUGCAACGCGAAGAACCUUACCAAGGCUUGACAUACACGAGAACGGGCCAGAAAUGGUCAACUCUUUGGACACUCGUGAACAGGUGGUGCAUGGUUGUCGUCAGCUCGUGUCGUGAGAUGUUGGGUUAAGUCCCGCAACGAGCGCAACCCUCGUUCUAUGUUGCCAGCACGUUAUGGUGGGAACUCAUGGGAUACUGCCGGGGUCAACUCGGAGGAAGGUGGGGAUGACGUCAAAUCAUCAUGCCCCUUAUGUCUUGGGCUUCACGCAUGCUACAAUGGCCGGUACAAAGGGCUGCAAUACCGUGAGGUGGAGCGAAUCCCAAAAAGCCGGUCCCAGUUCGGAUUGAGGUCUGCAACUCGACCUCAUGAAGUCGGAGUCGCUAGUAAUCGCAGAUCAGCAACGCUGCGGUGAAUACGUUCCCGGGUCUUGUACACACCGCCCGUCAAGUCAUGAAAGUCGGUAACACCUGAAGCCG
Molecule: ribosomal RNA, 933 nt
Filed under: Microbacterium sp. 18ML
Lineage: Bacteria; Bacillati; Actinomycetota; Actinomycetes; Micrococcales; Microbacteriaceae
Description: bacterial SSU rRNA
Rfam family: Bacterial small subunit ribosomal RNA
Source: RNAcentral